CACAAAGAAGAGCCGGG
This 17-nucleotide transfer RNA is filed under the name Podocarpus matudae. Its description in RNAcentral is "partial tRNA-Phe". Lineage: Eukaryota; Viridiplantae; Streptophyta; Pinopsida; Araucariales; Podocarpaceae. The record is from RNAcentral.